RNAcentral lists this ribosomal RNA (491 nucleotides) under uncultured bacterium. Its description in RNAcentral is "partial 16S ribosomal RNA". It matches the Rfam family "Bacterial small subunit ribosomal RNA", at positions 29 to 507 of the family's 1533-position model. The record is from RNAcentral.
AGUGAACGCUGGCGGUAGGCCUAACACAUGCAAGUCGAACGGCAGCACAGUAAGAGCUUGCUCUUACGGGUGGCGAGUGGCGGACGGGUGAGGAAUACAUCGGAAUCUACUUUUUCGUGGGGGAUAACGUAGGGAAACUUACGCUAAUACCGCAUACGACCUACGGGUGAAAGCAGGGGAUCUUCGGACCUUGCGCGAUUGAAUGAGCCGAUGUCGGAUUAGCUAGUUGGCGGGGUAAAGGCCACCAAGGCGACGAUCCGUAGCUGGUCUGAGAGGAUGAUCAGCCACACUGGAACUGAGACACGGUCCAGACUCCUACGGGAGGCAGCAGUGGGGAAUAUUGGACAAUGGGCGCAAGCCUGAUCCAGCCAUACCGCGUGGGUGAAGAAGGCCUUCGGGUUGUAAAGCCCUUUUGUUGGGAAAGAAAAGCAGCAGGUUAAUACCCCGCUGCUCUGACGGUACCCAAAGAAUAAGCACCGGCUAACUUCGUG